RNAcentral lists this ribosomal RNA (253 nucleotides) under uncultured bacterium. Its description in RNAcentral is "partial 16S ribosomal RNA". It matches the Rfam family "Bacterial small subunit ribosomal RNA", at positions 524 to 776 of the family's 1533-position model. The record is from RNAcentral.
AACGUAGGACGCAAGCGUUAUCCGGAGUUACUGGGCGUAAAGGGCGCGUAGGCGGCUUGCCAAGUCACUUGUGAAAUCUCUGGGCUUAACCCAGAACGGCCAAGUGAAACUGGCAUGCUAGAGUGCAGAAGGGGCAAUCGGAAUUCUUGGUGUAGCGGUGAAAUGCGUAGAUAUCAAGAGGAACACCUGAGGUGAAGACGGGUUGCUGGGCUGACACUGACGCUGAGGCGCGAAAGCCAGGGGAGCAAACGGG